AUUGAACGCUGGCGGCAUGCCUUACACAUGCAAGUCGAGCGCGAAAGGGGGCAACCCCGAGUAGAGCGGCGGACGGGUGAGUAACACAUCGGAACGUGCCCAGUAGUGGGGGACAACCUCGAGAAAUCGAGGCUAAUACCGCAUACGACCCACGGGUGAAAGCGGGGGACCGCAAGGCCUCGCGCUAUUGGAGCGGCCGAUGUCCGAUUAGCUAGUUGGCGGGGUAANAGCCCACCAAGGCGACGAUCGGUAGCUGGUCUGAGAGGACGACCAGCCACACUGGGACUGAGACACGGCCCAGACUCCUACGGGAGGCAGCAGUGGGGAAUUUUGGACAAUGGGGCAACCCUGAUCCAGCCAUGCCGCGUGCGGGAAGAAGGCC
RNAcentral lists this ribosomal RNA (382 nucleotides) under uncultured bacterium. RNAcentral's name for it is "bacterial SSU rRNA". It matches the Rfam family "Bacterial small subunit ribosomal RNA", at positions 29 to 416 of the family's 1533-position model. The record is from RNAcentral.